This 748-nucleotide long non-coding RNA is filed under the name Salmo salar (Atlantic salmon). Its description in RNAcentral is "lncRNA (ENSSSAG00000094010.1)". The record is from RNAcentral. Lineage: Eukaryota; Metazoa; Chordata; Actinopteri; Salmoniformes; Salmonidae.
UACCAACACCAGAACGCGAGCUGAGCUGUUGAGUCAACGCCGCUGCUGGUCUGUGUGGUGAAACUCUAACGGCGUUUCCCUCUAUAUGAUGCUCUGAAAAGGCUUUGCAUUCUAUUCAUUCGAACUUCGAAUAGUUCACGGUGAGACGGAAGAACAUAAUACUGUAUGUGCAGCACUGCUAUUUAAAGUGGCGCCGAUGACAACAAUCGUGAAUAUUGUUCUACUCAGUUAACGGAAUAUCCUUUCCCCUUCCCAUAACUCCGCGCAAUCAGUCUUUCUGCUGACUCCUGCACAAGGAGCUCUUAUUCCUUCCCCCCAUCCUUCCCUCUCACAACCACCAUGACCCUGAUGAGCGGCCUGUAGGGAGAAGUGUGAUUCUGUAUCAUCAGUGGAUCUCCACUUUGUCUCAAAGUGCUUACCAGGGGACCGGCAGCUGAUUGUCCAGAAGGGAAACGCUCUGAUUGGUCCGAUUUCAUCAGAUGAUGAUGCCACCCUGUCUGUUUCAGGAAGGACCGUAUUAUAAUAAUGAAGUCAAAGAGGGUUUGAACUAACACAGUACUAACACAGUACUAACGCAUUACUAACGCAAUACUAACACAGUACUAACACAGUACUAACUCAGUACUAACGCAGUACUAACGCAGUACUAAAACAGUACUAACACAGUCCUAAAGCAAUACUAACACAGUACUAACACAGUACUAAAACAGUACUAACACAGUACUAACACAGUACUAACACAGUACUA